AUCACCGAAGCUGCGGACUGUUCUUCGAACAGUGGUAGGAGAGCGUUCUAAGGGCUGUGAAGCCAGACCGGAAGGACUGGUGGAGCGCUUAGAAGUGAGAAUGCCGGUAUGAGUAGCGAAAGAGGGGUGAGAAUCCCCUCUACCGAAUGCCUAAGGUUUCCUGAGGAAGGCUCGUCCGCUCAGGGUUAGUCGGGACCUAAGCCGAGGCCGAAAGGCGUAGGCGAUGGACAACAGGUUGAUAUUCCUGUACCACCUCCUCACCAUUUGAGCAAUGGGGGGACGCAGGAGGAUAGGGUAAGCGCGGUAUUGGAUAUCCGCGUCCAAGCAGUUAGGCUGGGAAAUAGGCAAAUCCGUUUCCCAUAAGGCUGAGCUGUGAUGGCGAGCGAAAUAUAGUAGCGAAGUUCCUGAUUCCACACUGCCAAGAAAAGCCUCUAGCGAGGUGAGAGGUGCCCGUACCGCAAACCGACACAGGUAGGCGAGGAGAGAAUCCUAAGGUGAUCGAGAGAACUCUCGUUAAGGAACUCGGCAAAAUGACCCCGUAACUUCGGGAGAAGGGGUGCUCUGUUAGGGUGCAAGCCCGAGAGAGCCGCAGUGAAUAGGCCCAGGCGACUGUUUAGCAAAAACACAGGUCUCUGCGAAGCCGUAAGGCGAAGUAUAGGGGCUGACGCCUGCCCGGUGCUGGAAGGUUAAGAGGAGCGCUUAGCGUAAGCGAAGGUGCGAAUUGAAGCCCCAGUAAACGGCGGCCGUAACGAUAACGGUCCUAAGGUAACGAAAUUCCUUGUCGGGUAAGUUCCGACCCGCACGAAAGGCGCAACGAUCUGGGCACUGUCUCAACGAGAGACUCGGUGAAAUUAUAGUACCUGUGAAGAUGCAGGUUACCCGCGACAGGACGGAAAGACCCCGUGGAGCUUUACUGCAGCCUGAUAUUGAAUGUUGGUACAGCUUGUACAGGAUAGGUAGGAGCCUUGGAAACCGGAGCGCCAGCUUCGGUGGAGGCAUCGGUGGGAUACUACCCUGGCUGUAUUGACCUUCUAACCCGCCGCCCUUAUCGGGCGGGGAGACAGUGUCAGGUGGGCAGUUUGACUGGGGCGGUCGCCACCUAAAAGGUAACGGAGGCGCCCAAAGGUUCCCUCAGAAUGGUUGGAAAUCAUUCGCAGAGUGUAAAGGCACAAGGGAGCUUGACUGCGAGACCUACAAGUCGAGCAGGGACGAAAGUCGGGCUUAGUGAUCCGGUGGUUCCGCAUGGAAGGGCCAUCGCUCAACGGAUAAAAGCUACCCCGGGGAUAACAGGCUUAUCUCCCCCAAGAGUCCACAUCGACGGGGAGGUUUGGCACCUCGAUGUCGGCUCAUCGCAUCCUGGGGCUGUAGUCGGUCCCAAGGGUUGGGCUGUUCGCCCAUUAAAGCGGUACGCGAGCUGGGUUCAGAACGUCGUGAGACAGUUCGGUCCCUAUCCGUCGCGGGCGCAGGAAAUCUGAGAGGAGCUGUCCUUAGUACGAGAGGACCGGGAUGGACGCACCGCUGGUGUACCAGUUGUUCUGCCAAGGGCAUCGCUGGGUAGCUAUGUGCGGACGGGAUAAGUGCUGAAAGCAUCUAAGCAUGAAGCCCCCCUCAAGAUGAGAUUUCCCAUUCCGCAAGGAAGUAAGAUCCCUGAAAGAUGAUCAGGUUGAUAGGUCUGAGGUGGAAGUGUGGCGACACAUGGAGCUGACAGAUACUAAUCGAUCGAGG
This 1725-nucleotide ribosomal RNA is filed under the name metagenome. RNAcentral's name for it is "bacterial LSU rRNA". It matches the Rfam family "Bacterial large subunit ribosomal RNA", at positions 1190 to 2912 of the family's 2925-position model. The record is from RNAcentral.